This 72-nucleotide transfer RNA is filed under the name Pleodorina starrii. It matches the Rfam family "tRNA". From Rfam's summary of the family: Transfer RNA (tRNA) molecules are approximately 80 nucleotides in length. Their secondary structure includes four short double-helical elements and three loops (D, anti-codon, and T loops). Lineage: Eukaryota; Viridiplantae; Chlorophyta; Chlorophyceae; Chlamydomonadales; Volvocaceae. The record is from Rfam by way of RNAcentral.
AUCGAGAUGGCGCAGCGGAAGCGUGCGGGGCUCAUAACCCCGAAGUCCCAGGAUCGAAACCUGGUCUCGAUA